Molecule: long non-coding RNA, 979 nt
Organism: Scylla paramamosain (green mud crab)
Lineage: Eukaryota; Metazoa; Arthropoda; Malacostraca; Decapoda; Portunidae
Exons: 7
Source: RefSeq, a predicted model, not a curated record
CUCUCUCUCAUCAGUAUCAUCCGAGAGUCUUUCCGUCUUUUGCUUGUAGAAUUGUCCGUAUGAAGAGAAUAAUGGGAUAUUGCAACAGUGAAAUACUAGUAAAGAGUGGUGGUGGUUGUGGUGGUGGUGGUGCCGUUGGGAAGGCGAAAUCCACGGUCGUUUUGUUGUGGAGGCAGUGGACGCGCUGGACUGAGUGAGUGUCGCGGCGGUGCAGGACACAAUCAAUCUCACAGGAGCCAAACGCAACCGAAUAGAGAGUGGAAUCCAAACUGUAGGUUGCCACAUCCACUGACCCUGGCCACCACCACAGCAGUGCCUCCCCCAGCCAAGGCCGAGGCGUGUACUCUGAAGGACUAACCAACAUAAGUCAGGACGACCACAGCCGUAGAAGAUAACAUUACAUGAAGUCUGCAAGUCAGUAACAAGCAGUGUGUCUCUGGUGCUUGGCGUGCCUCUACAAAGCUGAGAUGAGCAGUAGUGCUUGAUGGGGGACUCCCCCAUCCCCCACUCCCAAACACCCUUCCGCUGUCCCUCCUGCCUCGCUAUAACUUCACCCUGACAGCAGAUGUCCUCGCCGAGUCAGUAGCCCUGACUCAGGAGACACCCGCCACACGCCACCACGGAGAGGCAAGUUUCCGAGGUUCAGGGAAGCGUGAAGGAGAGCAAGCAACUCCUCGAUACUGAUCAGCAGACGGCACCUCCGCGGCAUCCUGAGACGGGGACUCCACUCCGUGACUUGAUCUGGAGUUUGGCUCGCGUCGCUAUUUUUAGCUGCCUGCAACUUGACUCAGACUCCAGGGGUAAUUUGCCUUCCCUCUCUGCCUCGCCCUGGAGAUACACGGACAUCAAUAAAGACUGUGGGACUCACGGGCAGUGGACGACAACGGGCCCCGUGACGACGCUCUGGUUGUAGAGGACAGCGUGGAGGAGGUGCAGCACGGCGCCUGGGUCCCGCAGCCCGCCGGGGAAGUGAAAGUGA